CCUACGGGUGGCAGCAGUGAGGAAUAUUGGUCAAUGGGCGCGAGCCUGAACCAGCCAUGCCGCGUGCAGGAAGACGGCUCUAUGAGUUGUAAACUGCUUUUGUACAAGGGUAAACCUGAAUACGUGUAUUCAGCUGAAAGUACUGUACGAAUAAGGAUCGGCUAACUCCGUGCCAGCAGCCGCGGUAAUACGGAGGAUCCAAGCGUUAUCCGGAUUUAUUGGGUUUAAAGGGUGCGUAGGCGGAUUGAUAAGUUAGAGGUGAAAUGUCCGAGCUUAACUCGGGAACUGCCUCUAAUACUGUUGAUCUAGAGAGUAGAUGCGGUAGGCGGAAUGUAUGGUGUAGCGGUGAAAUGCUUAGAGAUCAUACAGAACACCGAUUGCGAAGGCAGCUUACUAAACUGUGACUGACAUUGAUGCUCGAAAGUGUGGGUAUCAAACAGGAUUAGAUACCCGGGUAGUC
RNAcentral lists this ribosomal RNA (460 nucleotides) under uncultured bacterium. Its description in RNAcentral is "partial 16S ribosomal RNA". It matches the Rfam family "Bacterial small subunit ribosomal RNA", at positions 338 to 795 of the family's 1533-position model. The record is from RNAcentral.